This 255-nucleotide ribosomal RNA is filed under the name uncultured bacterium. RNAcentral describes it as "partial 16S ribosomal RNA". It matches the Rfam family "Bacterial small subunit ribosomal RNA", at positions 524 to 776 of the family's 1533-position model. The record is from RNAcentral.
UACGGGGGGAGCAAGCGUUGUUCGGAUUUACUGGGCGUAAAGGGCGCGUAGGCGGCCACCUCAAGUCGGUUGUGAAAUCUCUGGGCUUAACCCAGAAAGGUCAAUCGAUACUGCGGGGCUAGAGUGCAGAAGGGGCAACUGGAAUUCUCGGUGUAGCGGUGAAAUGCGUAGAUAUCGAGAGGAACACCUGCGGCGAAGGCGGGUUGCUGGGCUGACACUGACGCUGACAGCGCGAAAGCUAGGGGAGCGAACGGG